RNAcentral lists this ribosomal RNA (464 nucleotides) under uncultured bacterium. RNAcentral describes it as "partial 16S ribosomal RNA". It matches the Rfam family "Bacterial small subunit ribosomal RNA", at positions 29 to 507 of the family's 1533-position model. The record is from RNAcentral.
ACGAACGCUGGCGGCGUGCUUAACACAUGCAAGUCGAACGGAAAGGCCCCUUUGGGGGUACUCGAGUGGCGAACGGGUGAGUAACACGUGAGUAACCUGCCCUUGACUUCGGGAUAACUUCAGGAAACUGGGGCUAAUACCGGAUAGGAAUCCUUGCUGCAUGGUGGGGGUUGGAAAGCUUCGGCGGCUUUGGAUGGACUCGCGGCUUAUCAGCUUGUUGGUGGGGUAGUGGCCUACCAAGGCUUUGACGGGUAGCCGGCCUGAGAGGGCGACCGGCCACGUUGCGACUGAAAGACGGCACAGACUCCGACAGGGGGCCGAAGUGAGGAGUAGUGAGCAAUGGGCAGAAGCCUGCUGCAGCAACGCCGCGUGCGGGAAGACGGCCUUCAGGUGGUAAUCCGCUUUCAGCAGGGGCGACGCUUGUGGUGACGGUACCUGCAGAGGAAGCACCGGCUAACUACGUG